GAUGAACGCUGGCGGCGUGCCUAAUACAUGCAAGUCGAGCGAACAGACGAGGAGCUUGCUCCUCUGACGUUAGCGGCGGACGGGUGAGUAACACGUGGAUAACCUACCUAUAAGACUGGGAUAACUUCGUGAAACCGGAGCUAAUACCGGAUAAUAUAUUGAACCGCAUGGUUCAAUAGUGAAAGACGGUUUUGCUGUCACUUAUAGAUGGAUCCGCGCCGCAUUAGCUAGUUGGUAAGGUAACGGCUUACCAAGGCAACGAUGCGUAGCCGACCUGAGAGGGUGAUCGGCCACACUGGAACUGAGACACGGUCCAGACUCCUACGGGAGGCAGCAGUAGGGAAUCUUCCGCAAUGGGCGAAAGCCUGACGGAGCAACGCCGCGUGAGUGAUGAAGGUCUUCGGAUCGUAAAACUCUGUUAUUAGGGAAGAACAAAUGUGUAAGUAACUAUGCACGUCUUGACGGUACCUAAUCAGAAAGCCACGGCUAACUCCGUG
Molecule: ribosomal RNA, 497 nt
Filed under: uncultured bacterium
Lineage: Bacteria
Description: partial 16S ribosomal RNA
Rfam family: Bacterial small subunit ribosomal RNA
Source: RNAcentral